UGGGGAAUUUUGGACAAUGGGCGCAAGCCUGAUCCAGCCAUGCCGCGUGCGGGAAGAAGGCCUUCGGGUUGUAAACCGCUUUUGUCAGGGAAGAAAUCUUCUGAGUUAAUACCUCGGGAGGAUGACGGUACCUGAAGAAUAAGCACCGGCUAACUACGUGCCAGCAGCCGCGGUAAUACGUAGGGUGCAAGCGUUAAUCGGAAUUACUGGGCGUAAAGCGUGCGCAGGCGGUUUUGUAAGACAGAGGUGAAAUCCCCGGGCUCAACCUGGGAACUGCCUUUGUGACUGCAAGGCUUGAGUGCGGCAGAGGGGGAUGGAAUUCCGCGUGUAGCAGCGAAAUGCGUAGAUAUGCGGAGGAACACCGAUGGCGAAGGCAAUCCCCUGGGCCUGCACUGACGCUCAUGCACGAAAGCGUGGGGAGCAAACAGGAUUAGAUACCCUGGUAGUCCACGCCCUAAACGAUGUCAACUGGUUGUUGGGAAGGUUCCUUCUCAGUAACGUAGCUAACGCGUGAAGUUGACCGCCUGGGGAGUACGGCCGCAAGGUUGAAACUUAAAUGAAUUGACGGGGUCAUAGC
RNAcentral lists this ribosomal RNA (577 nucleotides) under uncultured bacterium. RNAcentral's name for it is "partial 16S ribosomal RNA". It matches the Rfam family "Bacterial small subunit ribosomal RNA", at positions 355 to 925 of the family's 1533-position model. The record is from RNAcentral.